Monodelphis domestica (gray short-tailed opossum) is the source of this 1742-nucleotide long non-coding RNA. RefSeq lists it as uncharacterized. The record is from RefSeq and is a predicted model, not a curated record. NCBI's taxonomy places the organism in Eukaryota, Metazoa, Chordata, Mammalia, Didelphimorphia, Didelphidae.
UUCACGGCUCAUGUGGCAGUUAAAGAAUUUCUGCUUGCAUGCGGUCUUUUUAUUCCAGCAGAUAGCCCGGAUCUUCCAGAUAGACUCCAAUAUGAAGGUAUUGAAUACCUUGCAAUUCCCUUUUGUCAUACCCCUGAUUUUCAUCAUCUGGUUACAGUAAGUAUUGUCAUUGAAGGCUAAGCUUUUUGAGUCCACAUGUUGCCGCUGAAACUUCUCUGCUGCAGACUCUGAUGAGACCAGCCCCACCACUACCAUUGCCAGCAGUGGGAAGAGCAGGGCGGCUCUGUCCAGGGCCAUUACGGCCUCAUUCACCAAAGGGAGCCUACCCAGGAAAGGGGCAGAGACAGAUGAAGGACAUCAUGACAAGGUUCCAAGCCUCUCUGUCUUCCUGAAAUUCUGAGACAUCUUGACUGUCCUUGGGCAGCUUCACUGGGUUUGACAGCUGAGAAAGAGACUAUUUAGGACUAGUUGACUAUGACUGAUUCCUGGAAAUGAGUAGUGGCCUCCUUAUGUGAUAAAUGGAAGCUGGGGUAAUGAAGCAGCUCUAUUCAAAGUGAUCAGUCACUGUAGCAUCUGAAUAGACCAAAAGGCAUAAGACAGAAGAUCUACAACUAAUUUGGGCCUGAUAUUAGCAUUUAUUUGGCAUGGAUGCAAGGGGAAGUUGGAAGAUGAACUGAGCCUUCCUUCUUGAAGGGGGUCUGGACUCUCCUUUGCUUCCCACCCCCUACCAAGUGGUCACAGAUAUCUGAGGUGACUUUCUUGCAUGUGUCUGUGAAUGAGAAAAGUCCUUUUAAGUAAAUUUUAGUAAGAGAACUUGCAUAAAGGAUAUUUCAAGAUUCUCAUGUCUGAAGGAGACAAGGAAAAGACUGCCUUCAUCUGUCCAGUUGACUUUCACCAGUUUGAGCAAAUACUGCAAAGCAUCUUGGGAUACCAGUCACUUUCCAACAGCUAAUGGAGAAAAAUAUUGGGCACAUAAAUUAUCUGGAAAUGUUAGUGUACCUUGAUGACAUAAUUAUCUUUAGUAUGUCACUAGAGGAACAUGAGGAGAGACUAAUGAAUGUGUUAGAUUAGCUGGAGAAAGUUUAUCUAAAGUUGUCAAUUGACAAAUGCCAAUUCUUAAACAUUUCUAUGAUUAGGUCAAGAAGUACUUAAAUUGUAGCCUUGAGCUUAGAUGUAAGCUUUUGGUUUUACUGUGUACUUGUUCUAAUGGGUACAUCCUUGAUUGCCCUGUCUUGGCACUUUAGGCAAAAAGAUCCAGUCCCCCCUUUGUACUAUCAACCACCCUAAACUGUGAACUAUGUCCUCAUCUCAAGCCCAAACUGGCUUUGCUCUAGGCCCACACAGAUCAGACCACUUCUGACUGCCCUGGGCUGGGAAUUCAGACUUCUCCACAGGUUUGAAAUUUCUUACCUUCCAUCUUGGACUUAAUACUGUAUAUUGGCUCCAAGGCAGAAGAGUGGUAAGGGCUAGGCAAUGGGGGUCAAGUGACUUGCCCAGGGUCACACAGCUGGGACAUGUCUGAGGCUAGAUUUGAACCUAGGACCUCCCAUCUCUAGGUCUAGCUCUCAAUCCACUGAGCUACCCAGCUGCCCCCUACAGGUUUGAAAUUUCAAGGGGUGUGGGUUGGCUUGGACCACUAUUUGCCCAGACAGCAUCUCAGAGUCUGAAUGUUAGCUUGGUCUUAGGUUCUAAACCUGGAACAGCAGAUAUGGGGUGGGGGAAUGUGUGACUUGCUCUUCACU